AUUGAACGCUGGCGGCGUGCCUAACACAUGCAAGUCGAGCGGUAACAGGUGUAGCAAUACAUGCUGACGAGCGGCGAACGGGUGAGUAAUGCUUUGGAAUCUUCCCAGUAGUGGGGAAUAACCAGUCGAAAGAUUGGCUAAUACCGCAUACGUCUGUAAAGGGAAAGCGGGGGCUCGUAAGACCUCGCGCUAUUGGAUGAGCCAAAGUCGGAUUAGCUAGUUGGGGGGUAAUGGCCUACCAAGGCGACAAUCCGUAGCUGGUCUGAGAGGACGACCAGCCACACCGGAACUGAGACACGGUCCGGACUCCUACGGGAGGCAGCAGUGGGGAAUAUUGGACAAUGGGGGAAACCCUGAUCCAGCGACGCCGCGUGUGUGAAGAAGGCCUGCGGGUUGUAAAGCACUUUUAGUGGGGAACAAAAAGCUACGGAUUAAUACUCUGUGGUCUUG
RNAcentral lists this ribosomal RNA (450 nucleotides) under uncultured bacterium. RNAcentral describes it as "bacterial SSU rRNA". It matches the Rfam family "Bacterial small subunit ribosomal RNA", at positions 30 to 471 of the family's 1533-position model. The record is from RNAcentral.